GAUGAACGCUGGCGGCGUGCCUAAUACAUGCAAGUCGAGCGAACGGACGAGAAGCUUGCUUCUCUGAUGUUAGCGGCGGACGGGUGAGUAACACGUGGAUAACCUACCUAUAAGACUGGGAUAACUUCGGGAAACCGGAGCUAAUACCGGAUAAUAUUUUGAACCGCAUGGUUCAAAAGUGAAAGACGGUCUUGCUGUCACUUAUAGAUGGAUCCUCGCUGCAUUAGCUAGUUGGUAAGGUAACGGCUUACCAAGGCAACGAUGCAUAGCCGACCUGAGAGGGUGAUCGGCCACACUGGAACUGAGACACGGUCCAGACUCCUACGGGAGGCAGCAGUAGGGAAUCUUCCGCAAAGGGCGAAAGCCUGACGGAGCAACGCCGCGUGAGUGAUGAAGGUCUUCGGAUCGUAAAACUCUGUUAUUAGGGAAGAACAUAUGUGUAAGUAACUGUGCACAUCUUGACGGUACCUAAUCAGAAAGCCACGGCUAACUACGUG
Molecule: ribosomal RNA, 497 nt
Filed under: uncultured bacterium
Lineage: Bacteria
Description: partial 16S ribosomal RNA
Rfam family: Bacterial small subunit ribosomal RNA
Source: RNAcentral